UAAUACCGCAUAUGCUCUACGGAGGAAAGCCGGGGAUCCGCAAGGACCUGGCGCUAUGGGAGCGGCCGAUGUCCGAUUAGCUAGUUGGUGAGGUAAAGGCUCACCAAGGCGACGAUCGGUAGCUGGUCUGAGAGGAUGAUCAGCCACACUGGGACUGAGACACGGCCCAGACUCCUACGGGAGGCAGCAGUGGGGAAUUUUGGACAAUGGGGGCAACCCUGAUCCAGCCAUGCCGCGUGCGGGAAGAAGGCCUUCGGGUUGUAAACCGCUUUUAGUCGGGAAGAAAAGGGCGAGGCUAAUACCUUCGUCACUUGACGGUACCGGCGGAAUAAGCACCGGCUAACUACGUGCCAGCAGCCGCGGUAAUACGUAGGGUGCGAGCGUUAAUCGGAAUUACUGGGCGUAAAGCGUGCGUAGGCGGUUCGUUAAGUUCGUUGUGAAAGCCCCGGGCUCAACCUGGGAACUGCAAUGGAAACUGGCGGGCUAGAGUAUGGCA
This 496-nucleotide ribosomal RNA is filed under the name uncultured Burkholderia sp. Its description in RNAcentral is "bacterial SSU rRNA". It matches the Rfam family "Bacterial small subunit ribosomal RNA", at positions 164 to 653 of the family's 1533-position model. Lineage: Bacteria; Pseudomonadati; Pseudomonadota; Betaproteobacteria; Burkholderiales; Burkholderiaceae. The record is from RNAcentral.